AUUGAACGCUGGCGGCAGGCCUAACACAUGCAAGUCGAGCGGAUGAAGGGAGCUUGCUCCUGGAUUUAGCGGCGGACGGGUGAGUAAUGCCUAGAAUCUGCCUGGUAGUGGGGGAUAACGUCCGGAAACGGGCGCUAAUACCGCAUACGUCCUGAGGGAGAAAGUGGGGGAUCUUCGGACCUCACGCUAUCAGAUUAGCCUAGGUCGGAUUAGCUAGUUGGUGGGGUAAAGGCCUACCAAGGCGACGAUCCGUAACUGGUCUGAGAGGAUGAUCAGUCACACUGGAACUGAGACACGGUCCAGACUCCGACGGGAGGCAGCAGUGGGGAAUAUUGGACAAUGGGCGAAAGCCUGAUCCAGCCAUGCCGCGUGUGUGAAGAAGGUCUUCGGAUUGUAAAGCACUUUAAGUUGGGAGGAAGGGCAGUAAGUUAAUACCUUGCUGUUUUGACGUUACCAACAGAAUAAGCACCGGCUAACUUCGUG
Molecule: ribosomal RNA, 483 nt
Filed under: uncultured bacterium
Lineage: Bacteria
Description: partial 16S ribosomal RNA
Rfam family: Bacterial small subunit ribosomal RNA
Source: RNAcentral